GAUUACUGCAGUAUUCUCAGUGUUCCAAGACUGUUACAAUAGGUUUCCCCAACCUUUAUUUGCUCAGGUCUUUAUUCAUAGUGAGAAGCAACUGCAUUCGUGCAGAUUAGGUGUCAUGAGAAACGGAUCUUCAAAAAAAGGCCUGAAUGGAGAAUGAGAUCCUGUUAUGUUUUCAUCCCUCUACCAGAACUGAUAUAUCUAAACAUUUCUAUUUAAGUCUUUAAAGGAUAUUUGCUUUCCAUCAGAUUACUUUAAACUUCCCUUUAAAGAGUCUCAGUGGUACUUCACUCUCUGUUCAUGUCAUGAUUUGCUAUAGAUUAUGAAACUGAUUUUUAGAAUAUGAGCCAUAUUGAAUAUGAUACUCUGAUCCUUAUGGAGUUGGUGUACUGAACCUCAGAUCAAUUGAAGGGACAGCGGGAGAAGAGGAGGCUCUGGGGAAAGCUCAUAGCAGCCUUCCAGUACUAAAAGGGGCCUACAGGAAAGACAAGACUCUUUUUCAGGGAGUGCAGUAAUAGGAUAAGGGGUAACAGAUUUAAACUAAAAGUACGUGCAUGUAGAUUAGAUAUUAGAUAUUACUCAGAGGUUGGUGAGGCCCUGCCACUGCUGCCUGGAGAGCUGUGGGUGCCCCAUCUCUAAAAGUGUUCAAGGCCAGGUUGAAUGGGCCUUAAGUAAUCUUAUUCAGCGGGGCACAUCCCUGCCUGUGGCAGUGGGGGUUUGAACUAGAUGGCCUCUGAAAGCCAUUCCAACCUAAGCUAUUCUACUAUUCUGUGACAGUAAUCUAGAAAAGAGCUUGGUCCUAGGAGUGCUGCAUGGACAUUUGUCUACUAUCCAGAGAAUAAUUAUUCCAUCACUAUGUGGACCACACAAUCAUAGAAUCAUAAAAUCACCACGGUUGGAAAAGACCUACAAGAUCAUCCAGUCCAACCAUCCACGAACAGUUCUCACUAAACCACGUCCCUCAACACAAUGUCUAAGUGCUCCUUGAACACCUCCAGGGCUGGUGACUCCACCACCUCUGUGGUCAGCCCAUUCCAGUGCCUGACCACUCCUUUGGAGAAGUAGUAUUUCCUAACAUCCAACCUGAAAACAACAAAUGGAACAAUCUACAAUCUAUGGCAGCAGAGGGACAGUCUGACAGAAUGGCGUCUGACAUGAAAGUGAAUAUGGAGCAAAGGGGUGGAACUGAAUUCCUCCAUGUGGACAGAAUUAUACCGAUUGACAUUCAUCAACACUUGUGGAUGUUUACGGAGACCCAACAGUGGAUGUGAGCACAGUGAAUGUGUUUCAGCAGUGGUGAUAGCAACAAUGGGCCACCUCCACUGGUACAGGCUUUUCUGAGUGUCGUAUGCAGGCUCUUCUUUAUUGCUGGUGAAAAUGCACAGCUAAUGGUGGUGGCUGUGUUGAAAAAUAGUGCUUUGUACCUGA
Molecule: long non-coding RNA, 1425 nt
Filed under: Gallus gallus (chicken)
Lineage: Eukaryota; Metazoa; Chordata; Aves; Galliformes; Phasianidae
Description: lncRNA (ENSGALG00010011474.1)
Source: RNAcentral